Molecule: transfer RNA, 70 nt
Filed under: Dipodomys ordii (Ord's kangaroo rat)
Lineage: Eukaryota; Metazoa; Chordata; Mammalia; Rodentia; Heteromyidae
Rfam family: tRNA
About the family: Transfer RNA (tRNA) molecules are approximately 80 nucleotides in length. Their secondary structure includes four short double-helical elements and three loops (D, anti-codon, and T loops).
Source: Rfam by way of RNAcentral
GGGAAUGUGGCUUAGUGGAAGAGUGCUUGCCUUACAUACAUGAAGCCGUGGGUUCGAUUCCUCAGUACCA